This 484-nucleotide ribosomal RNA is filed under the name uncultured bacterium. RNAcentral's name for it is "bacterial SSU rRNA". It matches the Rfam family "Bacterial small subunit ribosomal RNA", at positions 49 to 524 of the family's 1533-position model. The record is from RNAcentral.
CUACACAUGGCAGUCGGACGGUAGCACAGAGAGCUUGCUCUCGGGUGACGAGUGGCGGACGGGUGAGUAAUGUCUGGGGAUCUGCCCGAUAGAGGGGGAUAACCACUGGAAACGGUGGCUAAUACCGCAUAACGUCGCAAGACCAAAGAGGGGGACCUUCGGGCCUCUCACUAUCGGAUGAACCCAGGUGGGAUUAGCUAGUAGGCGGGGUAAUGGCCCACCUAGGCGACGAUCCCUAGCUGGUCUGAGAGGAUGACCAGCCACACUGGAACUGAGACACGGUCCAGACUCCUACGGGAGGCAGCAGUGGGGAAUAUUGCACAAUGGGCGCAAGCCUGAUGCAGCCAUGCCGCGUGUAUGAAGAAGGCCUUCGGGUUGUAAAGUACUUUCAGCGGGGAGGAAGGCGAUGCGGUUAAUAACCGCGUCGAUUGACGUUACCCGCAGAAGAAGCACCGGCUAACUCCGUGCCAGCAGCCGCGGUAAU